GCCCUGGUGACUGACCGUCGGCCUCUGUCCAGCAGAUCAGGAGGUAGUGACCGAGUGCUCCCCGACCAGAGACCGGCAGUGCCAGUGCAAGCGGGGCCACUUCUUCUGCGACUCCAUGGACUGCGAGGAGAACUGCUUCCGGUGUCAGAGGUGUGAGCACAGCGCCGUCCUUCGACCCUGCAAUGCCACCAGGGACGCGGUUUGUGCCGACAGACCUCACCCACAGCCGGGAGACGGGAGCACGUUGUUCAUCGUUCUGGGGGCCCUGGCCCUGCUCAUCCCCGGCCCCGUCGUGUUCUGCUGUAGAAGACGCAUCUUGGGGCUCCUCCAGUGGGUGGCCAGUCGCUGGAAAGGUAAGGACGACUUCUUUUCCUUUUGA
This 379-nucleotide long non-coding RNA is filed under the name Sus scrofa (pig). RNAcentral's name for it is "lncRNA (ENSSSCG00060051912.1)". Lineage: Eukaryota; Metazoa; Chordata; Mammalia; Artiodactyla; Suidae. The record is from RNAcentral.